This 441-nucleotide ribosomal RNA is filed under the name uncultured bacterium. RNAcentral's name for it is "partial 16S ribosomal RNA". It matches the Rfam family "Bacterial small subunit ribosomal RNA", at positions 338 to 795 of the family's 1533-position model. The record is from RNAcentral.
CCUAUGGGUGGCAGCAGUGGGGGAUAUUGCACAAUGGGGGGAACCCUGAUGCAGCGACGCCGCGUGGGUGAAGGAGUGCUUCGGCAUGUAAAGCCCUAUCGGCAGGGAAGAAGCAAGACGGUACCUGACUAAGAAGCCCCGGCUAACUACGUGCCCGCAGCCGCGGUAAUACGUAGGGGGCGAGCGUUAGCCGGAUUCACUGGGUGGAAAGGGAGCGUAGGCAGGCACGUAAGGCAGGGGUGAAAGCCCGGGGCCCAACCCCGGGACUGCCCUUGGAACUGAAUGGUUGGAGUGCGGGAGGGGCAGGCGGAAUGCCUGGUGUAGCGGUGAAAUGCGUAGAUAUCAGGAGGAACACCGGGGGCGAAGGCGGCCUGCUGGACUGUGACUGACGUUGAGGCCCGAAGGCGUGGGGAGCAAACAGGAUUAGAUACCCGUGUAGUC